RNAcentral lists this long non-coding RNA (327 nucleotides) under Phoenix dactylifera (date palm). RNAcentral's name for it is "long non-coding RNA (PDAC_LNC001592)". The record is from RNAcentral. Lineage: Eukaryota; Viridiplantae; Streptophyta; Magnoliopsida; Arecales; Arecaceae.
CAAACACUCUUUCUUGUAUGAUUCUAACAUCCAGCGAUCGCAUUCAUCAGUGACAGGCUAACAUAUAAUGUUGCAACUUGCAAGUCCCAAGAGAUAUGCUUUUCAUAUAUUGUAAAACUCUUUCAGAUGAUCAUAACAGUUCCCUCUCUUCGGUAUUCUAUGACAAUAUACAAAUCACUUUUCAAAUGCUUCGUCGGUCUUUUUCAGCUGAUCAUAAGCACAUACAAGCAUAAAUAGCAAAUAAAAAUUUUGCAUGCCGAAAAGACUCUAAUGAUCACAAUCCGAUCAGAACAAUGCAAAAGGGGCACUCACAUGUCACAGUUUUCC